This 708-nucleotide ribosomal RNA is filed under the name Triticum aestivum (bread wheat). Its description in RNAcentral is "partial small subunit ribosomal RNA". Lineage: Eukaryota; Viridiplantae; Streptophyta; Magnoliopsida; Poales; Poaceae. The record is from RNAcentral.
AUGACCCCCGCGCAGGACCCCUUCUACAUCGUCAAGGACGAGAUCCAGGAUUCCAUUGACAAAAUACAAGAUACUUUUAAUCAAUGGAAGCAAGCACCUGAAAAUACAGGAGAGUAUGUGCAUCUUACCAGAGAACUGCUAACCACCUGUGAGAGCGUCCAAUGGCAGGUGGAUGAGUUAGAGAAGGCAAUUUCUGUUGCUGAGAGAGAUCCAGCUUACUAUGGACUAAACGAGGUUGAAAUUGGGAAACGGAGGAACUGGACUAGCACCGCCCGCAACCAGGUGGUAUCAAUACGGAGGAAUGUUGAAGCUGGAAAGCACAAGACUGCCUUUGGACGUUCGGUCAAUCCUUCCGAACUAGGCAGAUCCAAGCAGCACAUUUCUCAGGAUAACGAUGACUUCAUUGCUUCAGAAUCUGAUCAACAGAUGCUCCUGAUGAAGCGUCAGGAUGAUGAGUUGGAUGCGCUUAGUGCUAGUGUCCAGCGAAUUGGAGGUGUAGGUCUCACAAUACACGAAGAGCUUGUUGGACAGGAAAAACUUCUAGGUGAACUAAGCCUCGACAUGGAAACUACCUCCAACCGGCUCGAUUUUGUGCAGAAAAGAGUGGCUAUGGUUCUGAAGAAGGCCAGCUUGAAAGGGCAGAUCAUGAUGAUAGCUUUCUUGGUGGUUCUUUUCAUCAUCCUUUUCGUUUUGGUAUUCUUGACUUGA